This 24-nucleotide non-coding RNA is filed under the name Arabidopsis thaliana (thale cress). Lineage: Eukaryota; Viridiplantae; Streptophyta; Magnoliopsida; Brassicales; Brassicaceae. The record is from RNAcentral.
UAACUCGGAUGUCUGAUUUUGCUA